Molecule: long non-coding RNA, 592 nt
Organism: Oncorhynchus keta (chum salmon)
Lineage: Eukaryota; Metazoa; Chordata; Actinopteri; Salmoniformes; Salmonidae
Exons: 3
Source: RefSeq, a predicted model, not a curated record
AUCUGUGGUAAAAAAAAAUAUUUUUGGCUUCGCGUCUUCACGGCCCGGUCCACAUCUGGGAGGGUCAACCGGGUCGAUGCAGCGACAAGACGGGAAGUGGAUGAACUUGCGCCACUAAACGAGAUAUUUUCCCAGUACGUGAUGGCCUGAUUUUUUGUUUGUUUUUAAACCCAUCACCAAUAUCCACCAUGAGGAGUGAAAGGAAGUGCAUUCUCUGUUAAACCAAUCACCAAUAUCCACCAUGAGGAGGGAAAGGAAGUGCAUUCUCUGUUAAACCAAUCACCAAUAUCCACCAUGGGGAGGGAAAGGAAGUGCAUUCUCUGUUAAACCAAUCACCAAUAUCCACCAUGAGGAGGGAAAGGAAGUGCAUUCUCUGUUAAACCAAUCACCAAUAUCCACCAUGAGGAGGGAAAGGAAGUGCAUUCUCUGUUAAACCAAUCACCAAUAUCCACCAUGAGGAGGGAAAGGAAGUGCAUUCUCUGUCAGAUCAUCUACAGCUCCAAACAGGAGAUGGAUGAGCAUAUGAAGAGUAUGCUGCAUCAUCGGGAACUGGAGAACCUUAAGGGCCGGUGAGAACUACUGCUGAACUUAC